RNAcentral lists this ribosomal RNA (39 nucleotides) under Hyaloscypha variabilis. RNAcentral's name for it is "partial 28S ribosomal RNA". Lineage: Eukaryota; Fungi; Ascomycota; Leotiomycetes; Helotiales; Hyaloscyphaceae. The record is from RNAcentral.
UUGACCUCGGAUCAGGUAGGGAUACCCGCUGAACUUAAC